This 414-nucleotide ribosomal RNA is filed under the name uncultured archaeon. Its description in RNAcentral is "bacterial SSU rRNA". It matches the Rfam family "Bacterial small subunit ribosomal RNA", at positions 509 to 925 of the family's 1533-position model. The record is from RNAcentral.
CAGCCGCCGCGGUAAUACGGAGGGUGCAAGCGUUAUCCGGAUUCACUGGGUUUAAAGGGUGCGUAGGCGGGCAGGUAAGUCAGUGGUGAAAUCCUGGAGCUCAACUCCAGAACUGCCAUUGAUACUAUCUGUCUUGAAUAUUGUGGAGGUAAGCGGAAUAUGUCAUGUAGCGGUGAAAUGCUUAGAUAUGACAUAGAACACCCAUUGCGAAGGCAGCUUACUACGCAUAUAUUGACGCUGAGGCACGAAAGCGUGGGGAUCAAACAGGAUUAGAUACCCUGGUAGUCCACGCCCUAAACGAUGGAUACUCGACAUACGCGAUACACUGUGUGUGUCUGAGCGAAAGCAUUAAGUAUCCCACCUGGGAAGUACGUUCGCAAGAAUGAAACUCAAAGGAAUUGGCGGGGGAGCACA